CAAUAGCGUAUAUUUAAGUUGUUGCAGUUAAAAAGCUCGUAGUCGGAUUUUGGCUGAGAACGAUCGGUCCGCCGUUAGAUGUGCACUGAUUGGUCUCAGCUUCCUGGUGAGGAGGUGUGCUUCACGGCCACUUAGUCACCGUGGUUACUUUGAAAAAAUUAGAGUGUUCAAAGCGGGCUUACGCUUGAAUAUAUUAGCAUGGAAUAACACCAUAGGACUCCUGUCCUAUUUCGUUGGUCUCGGGACGGGAGUAAUGAUUAAGAGGAACAGUUGGGGGCAUUCGUAUUUCAUUGUCAGAGGUGAAAUUCUUGGAUUUAUGAAAGACGAACUUCUGCGAAAGCAUUUGCCAAGGAUGUUUUCAUUGA
Molecule: ribosomal RNA, 365 nt
Filed under: uncultured eukaryote
Lineage: Eukaryota
Description: partial 18S ribosomal RNA
Rfam family: Eukaryotic small subunit ribosomal RNA
Source: RNAcentral